CACGUAGGGUCCGAGCGUUGUCCGGAAUUACUGGGCGUAAAGCGCGCGCAGGCGGUUAGUCGCAUCGGCGGUGAAAGCCCCCCGCUUAACGGGGGAGGGUCCGUCGAGAUGGACUGACUGGAGGCAGGGAGAGGGCGGUGGAAUUCCGGGUGUAGUGGUGAAAUGCGUAGAGAUCCGGAGGAACACCAGUGGCGAAGGCGGCCGCCUGGACCUGACCUGACGCUGAGGCGCGAAGGCGCGGGGAGCGAACGGGG
Molecule: ribosomal RNA, 254 nt
Filed under: uncultured bacterium
Lineage: Bacteria
Description: partial 16S ribosomal RNA
Rfam family: Bacterial small subunit ribosomal RNA
Source: RNAcentral